Magallana angulata is the source of this 7779-nucleotide long non-coding RNA. RefSeq lists it as uncharacterized. The transcript has 5 exons. The record is from RefSeq and is a predicted model, not a curated record. Lineage: Eukaryota; Metazoa; Mollusca; Bivalvia; Ostreida; Ostreidae.
CAUGGAUAUGAUUUAAAGUGAAACAGCCAUAAAAUACGUUAUUUAGUGCGCUGUUGUGGCUAAACAUAUAGAGCCAGAAACUUUACUGGGAGACACUUUUUUGAAAUCGAAUAGAUAUGAUAUAACGAUCGAUUUUGAAAAAUACAUAACAAAUUCGUUAUGUUUAAACGUUUCAUUUAAUCGUACAACGCCUGUUAACGUUACUUGUGUCCAUACGCCGUGAUCAGUUUGACGUGUGUUAUUGAAAACGGAACGUCACAGAUUUCUAAUGCAAACACAGGGAGACUAAAAUUAUGACAACUUGCAAUCAUCUGUAACAGUUUAAAUCGGCGGAAUAGUGUUUGAGGAAUCGUGUUCACAAAAAUUGUGGGAAAAUAAUUAGAAGAAACAGUUCGAAAACAAUAAGGUUUCCGUUGGAAACGGAAAACCUUGAUUAUACACCGAAUGUAAAUAUUUCUUUUUGUCAUCACAUAUUCGUGACCAGAAUGAUAUGCAGAGGUACGCGACUUAAAGCAUAAUUGUAUUGACGUCUUUUAAAACACGGAUUUAAAGUCAAUUUAUUUUGAAGACAAUUACUUAUUGUUUAUACUUUAUAUACGGACCUGUUUAAUUUAAAUAAUGAACGAUCUUCUCGGAGAUUAAUUUUCAGAACAAAGACACAAAACGUCCUUGUUUGAUCAGUGAACAGCACUUGAAUUUACAAUAUACAGUUAAACUGUCUUGUUUGACAAGGAUUGUCUAAAUAUAAAUUGUCAUUAUUUUACACAGCAUUUCAAAACUGCAUUCUUACGACUGGAUGUAACCAUAGAUUACAUGUUGAAAUAUGACAGAUAUAUUUCACAAAGUUGUGCAGGUGAAUCAAGCACUAAUUUCAUCCAACAGUUCUUUAAGAAUUUUCUCAUGUAUUAAGUCCCACUUGAAGACAUCCCCCUGGGGAACUAUCUUUUUCUUUAUGCCUCUGAGGAGUUUACAUAUAGUAGAGCAACAAGUGUUCUUGAACUACCUGAGAUACACAAACUAAUUGGAUAUGUUUAAGUGAGAAAAUUAGUGUAUUAGGACUUCCUGAACUGGGGAGUAUAUGACUCUCAUCCGCUUAGCACCACGGAGACCGAGAUAAGCACCUGCCUUUUGCGACUUCACGGUGCAGGGAAGAAUUUAACCUAAUUGCUUAAAUCAGGAAGCUUGCUAAAUCUUUGGAUCCUGCUUGGAUCUAGGUCUAGGCAAGCAAUGCUCUCAAGUUGUUAAUGUUUUACUCAAACAUCCCUGUAGAAACUAUUAGAAUUCAAGUUAAUAUACAUAUAAAGAUUGCAUACAUAUACAGUUAAUACAUACUUGAAUACAUUCAUACAGCCACAUAAAGUACAUUAAUCUAACUUAUCUAUUUUUCUUUCAGCCAUCCAGGGGAUUUCAUCUGGACAAUCCAAAUUUGUUAAGAAAUCAGAUUCAGGAAAAUGGAGAUUAAUAAUGGAAUAAGUUUAGUGGGAGAAACAAAUGGUACAACAGACCAAGGAUACAGUGUAACAGGAAUAACCCCAGUGGUUAUUAAUGGGGCUAUCCAGCUGUCGCAAGAGUGGUGGGGGUGGGGGAAGUACGUUCUCCAGUGGGUCAUCCUAUUUCUGUUUAAAAAGAUGAUGUACUAAGGACCUAAGAGGAUGGCCAGAUGCUCAAACAAUACAGUCCACUUCAUUAUCUUCAAACUUAUUGACUUUACGUAACUUAUGCUUAUAACUUUCGGACACAAAAACUCUUUGUAAUCUGUUUAAUUAUUGCAUGUGCAUGGUCAAUGGCAACUUAAAUGUGUAAGGUCAGGUAUGGGACACCUUGAUAUAUCAAUGUGGAUGAAAGUACGCCAUAUUCAAAAUAUACUGUAGAUUCCUUAUUUUACGCAUUAGUACAUAAGGUGGCUCACUACACCUUUAAAUAUUUCUCAAAUCAGCAGAAAAUUACUUGACUAUGAUAGAUAUCAUAGUUGAAAAGAAGUAUGUACGUCUAAUAGGCAAAAACAUGUGCAAUUUUGGAUGAAAAAUUACAUUUUCAAAAAUUCUUAAUUCAGUAAAUAUGAACAAAAGCUCCAGACGGUUUCGAACUCACGAUAUGCGGUUCAGAAGCCCAAUACUUUUUUUUUUUUUUUUUUAGAAGCCCAAUACUUAAGCCACUGAGCUACGACGAUAUACAACCGUAUCGAGCGAUAUAAACAUUUGAACAAAAUAUUUAAAUCGCCAUCUUAUGACGUAGUGUCUUAAAAAGUAUAAGUCUGGGUGUAGUAUUGUGCCUUAAUUCGGACAUUCAACUGUUUUGUAUCAAAUCACGACAAUAUAAAAUGCAAACACCAACUUUUAUCACAGUUUUCAUGUAGUUUGAAUCUGUCCUAAAAAUAAAAGUGAGAUUUUAAAAUCCUCAAGAAGUGCCUCUCGUGAUUAAAUGUUGAUAUUAAUUCCUCACAUUCAAUUUGGAAUCUACAGUAAUUAUUUUUAUUCAAAUUUUCAGUAUGUACAAUAUAGGCCAUAAUAUUUUUUUAAAUUAAAUAUUUUUUUAAAAAAGGAAAAAAAUUGGGAAAGCCCAGGUGGGAUUUCAACUCAUGACUUGCUGUGAAACUUCAAGAAUGUAAAAUGAAAUACAUGUUUAAUUUUAUUAAACUAUAUGUAUGUAAAAUUUUAUUGUUUAAUUCAAAAGAAAGAAUGUCACAAAACAGAGAUGACCCAUACCUACUUAAGAUCUUUGGAUUUCAACAUUUUGUAUAGAAUGCAGUUGGUUUUCAUCAUUUUCAAGUCAUAAUGCUCUAAACAGAGACGAAUUUCUCUUUUGCUUUAUAUUUUAGGUUAUAUCAUUUAAGAAUUUAUAUCCAGAAAUUUUUUCUGCUUGUUAUAAUGGACAGACUUUGAAGUUUAAUUAGAUUUGCAUUCAGGAUUUGAUAACAUGUCAUCAUGUUCUGUAAUAUUGUAAAAUUACCAAUCUGUUCUUUUCUUAGUACGGAAAUUAAAGAUCUUCAAUUUAUUCAAUAGCUUACCGGUAAAUGUCAUCUACCGUUACCGGUACAUAUGUAUUGUAAAACUUAUGCAAUUUUCUUUGUUCAAAUAUGGAUAAAGUGACUACACUCCAGCUAAUCUUAUGUCUCUCAGGUAAAACUUGUUUCUCAAAUAUUACAGGAAAAACCCAAGAAGGGCCAAUUGCUAGCUAAAUUAUUAAUAGUGCCAUUGUGUUGAGUAAACUUCAUGUGAAAACUAGAUCUGUAGUGUUAAGUUUAUUAAACAUAGAUAAUUAUACAUACAGUAUUUACAUUCUGUACAUACUAUCUGGUAUGAACACAAACCCGAUAAGAGACCCUAUUAAUCUGAGUCAGUACAAUGUACUGUAAAUGUACUUAAUUAAGCAGAAAUUAUAAGUUGAUGCAUUUUCAUGUUAAUUCCUCUUUGAAGUAAUUCAAAUUCUAAUUAACAUAUAAUGAUUGAAUCAAGUACAUAGAGAAUGUUAGAUCCAUAUGCAUUAACUUGUGAUUAUGUGAUAAUCCUUUUCAGGAAGUUGAUAGAAACUGCUAUUUUAUGAACAUUAACAGUACUAGUACCUGUUAUCUGAAUUUGUAGAUUAGUUAAUCAUGGUGAAGUUGCACUUGUUAUUAUUGAAAAUUGUGAUAUAUUUUACAAGAUAAGGGAAGCAAUCGUGCUAAAAAUUCAAGAAAUGAUUUUAGGAAGCUUGUAUGUCAACAAAUUCAGAUCUGUUUUAAAAUUUUACAUCUGAUGAUAUUGGCCAAAAAUUAUUUAUUGACUAGUAGUAAUUAGAAACAAUAUAUCACAAUGAUUUUUGAAUAAAAUUUGAAUAUUUUUUAUUUUCUUUAUAGUUUACAGAACUCUUUAUCUAAGAGAAGAUUAAUAUAGCCCAUAAAUCGCCAUUAUCAUGCAACCUUCUUUAUUAAGGUCUUCCGUUUCCAACGGAAGACCUUGUACUGAUUCUGUUGGAAAUUCUUCAUUAUUAUUUUUCUUCUUCUUUUUCUUCUAGACGUUUCUUUAAACUGUAAUAUCUCGCUUGUUUGUCAUUAGAUUUAUUCAAACUUUCAGGGUUUAUUGGAAAUGACAAUAGCUUACUUUAGCACAAAAUAUUUUGAAAUCGCUACUUCCGGUUUUGAGUUAUUCCCCUUUGAAUAUUUUUUUAGUGGGUCUCGUGUACCUGCAAAGGCUCCGAGUUGAUCCGUAGCAAGUAGUUUUAAUUUACAAAUCUUUAAUGUAGACAUCUUGAACGUUGUCCUCCUAGUUUUAGAUGUUUGAUUAACCCACGUUUACUUCUUAAAAAAUUACAUCGAAAUUAAUGUUUCAAAAAAUGUAAAAUUUUGCUUAUAUCUUUGCUCAAUAACUUUUUAAUUGUAAAUUUUUUCUUGUCACAUAUAUAACAAAAGUUGUGCAGAAUAUUUAGAGCUUUCAUUUGAUACCAUAAAAAAGGGGCUAGCCCCUAAAAUGAGGGGUCUAGAUCCCUUAAAAGUCUUUGCCUCAUAACUCUAAAACGGUAAAUUUUUCGAUAUGGGCGUCGCUGCAAAAAAUGUUGUUUGUGACUUUAUUGAUCUCAUAAAACUGUUUUUGUGUUCGGUAGUGCAUAAUAUGAGGGUAAAAAGUAAUACGUGUUGACCAGUACUCGCGGCAAUUUGGUCAAGUUAACGAAACUCUCCCUCGCCCGCGGUCGAGAAAAUCGGUCACCAUGGUCGCGGCUGGGCUACCUAGCGGUCAGCGGUUAUCUAAUACACGAGAGUUGCGUCUCUCAAAUAUGAGUUUAUUUAGCCGCAAACUCAAGAACUGUUUUAGUUUUGAUUACACAUAAAAGGACUAAACGAUUAGGUGUCAAUUAAGAAAUCGUUCAGUUAAUUAAUACAAGCAAUGUCAUUCUCAAUCUAAAGCAAUAUCAGACAUAGAUCAAUUGUGGGUUUCAAGUUUAAAAUAAAGAACUUCUAUUUGAUAGAAUAUGGUCAUUAUACUGCAAGCUUUUCAAAUCUUCCUGGGUUCUGAGCUGUGCGUGUCUGUGCGUUGUACCUUUACGUAAUCUAUCCUUCGUCCACGGCCGAGGAGAUCAGCCACGGCUGCACUACCUAGCAUUAAGCGGUUAUCUAAUACACAAGUUUCGCACACCGCGACGCACACUUAGAUGAAUAUGAACGUGUUUGAGUUUAUAUAGCCGUAAAUACAAGAACUGUUUUAAAUUUAUGUUAUAAAAGUUUGUCCAUCUUGUAUUUAUUUUAUUAAAAAUUUGAGUGUAAGUGAAUAUUAAUGAACGAAAUUACUCCAAAUCGGAAACAUCGUCAGACAUAAAUUAAUGGUUGGUUUGUAUAUCUAAAAAAUUUUAACCCCCCCCCCCCCACAAAUAUUGAUGAUGAUGAUCAUCCCUCGCACAUGGCCGAGGAGAUCCAGCGCGAGUGGACAAGUGAUCCGCGGUCGGCUCGUGUCCUUAUCACGCGUUCAUGUUUCAUAUUUUGCACGGAGAGAACUAUAUUUUAUUAUGUUUUCAACUAUUAUACAGGUUUAAGAUGAAAAGAUAAAUUUAUUUAACUUGUACAGUUGAUUAAGCAUUGAUUCAAUUAUACGAUAGCGUACAAGGUAGUUUAAAAAUCAAAUCAAAUUAUAAUCAAAGGUCUAUGUUACAUGUUUGCAGUAGGUGCUAGCACGAUAAAAGAAUGUCCUGAAUUGUCCUGAAUUGAGGCAUUUGAUGAUUAUUUUAAAGAAUAUUCACAUGAGUUUUAAACAACUUAAGAUUAGGUUAUAUCGGUCACAUAUUAAUCACUCUGUAGUUUUUUCUACAUGGUUGUUCGUUUCAGUGUGGAAGCGAACUCAUUGCUGCCCCCCCCCCUCCUCCCGCCCCUCUGACAAGUGCUCGCGCUGGAUAUUUUUUAAAUUGGCGAAAAGAUAUCCAGAUCUGUCGAAAAUUAUUUUUGGUGACUUCUUCAUAUGUGUAACAUUUUCUCCUCAACGUGUUUCAUUUUCCCACCCGUUUGUUUAUUCGGUCAGACUGUGUUAAUUCAAUCGCCACGUGCGACCGAAAAUCUUGUGUCGCUUCUCACAACAUAUGUAAUUGAGUAACAGUUGGAAGGGUGCUUUUAUAAACAAUAAGACUAUUAUUCGAAGUCAAUCAUCUUCACAUCGAAGAUGUGAAAUCAUAACCUGAGAAUGUGGCUAAUAAAUUAACCUGUUAAACACGUUAAACUUCUAUAGUUAUGAACAGAAUAAUUCAUAAUGUAUUAUAAUUAAAAGUAUGCAGUCAAAGGAAAUUUUGUUCUUGGGAAAUACGACAACAUUAUGCAAUGCAGUCGAUCGUCAUAGAAAUCAUCAAAGUACUGCAAGUGUCGACAGAUUUCUUAUUUCUUUGAAAGACCAUGAUAAUUCACUUGACUUGCAGACCAUAAUAUAGUGACAUACAUGUAUCUGCCUCCCAAAAAUAUAUGCGCUUCUCAAAGUUACACUUAAGUGAGAUAGAUGUGCGUUAUUGGGGAUUUUAUUUAUUGCUAAUUGUUUGAAAAUUGAUAAAAAAAAAGUUUUUAAUUGAAGUUGUGUAUUAUGAGGUUGUAAUGCAACUUAAUUUACUUACAAGGUUAGCUACAGCCAGUGGAAUACUAAUUUUAGCUGAACAAUGAAUACCCAAUAUAUUAAAAUACAAGAUAAAUAGUUUCCAGAACUAUAAUACUAUGCAUGUGUAUAUGAAGGUUGCACUCUGAUUUGUAUGGCUGUAGGUGGGGAGGUAAAGGUGUAUCGAUGUACAUUCAAUGUAUGACUGCACAUACAGAUUCCUGACCGUGGCUACAGACGAUAACCAUGAUAGUCCUUUAAUACAUCAAUGCGCAGUUUGAUGUAGGAACUGACCAGUUUCAUAACUUCUUCGAAUUUCUCUAACACGGACUGUCUAAUUCCUUUCCAGAAUUCCAAUUUACGCAAGCGCAAUUGAAGUUUUUUUUUCAAUUUAAUUAGUCAACCCACUGACAUAAAAAUAAGGAUUUUGCAUAUUAUUACAUUGUCGAGAGAAGUAAUAUUCAUUUCUGUAAAUAAGGUUAUUUAAUUCACAUUACAUAGCGGUGUCUCUAUGAAACAGCGCCAUCCGGUGUAAAAUUUAGAUGCUCGCUUUUGCAUAAAUUCUCCCACUGAUCUUUUUUUUUUUAGCUGAUUAUAUAUUAUUUUGAAUGUCCAAGUCUAGUCGUAUCGUUAAUUAAUAUCAGACGACACACAUUUCCCUGUAGAAAAGUUCAGAGAAGCCAUCAAUUUUGACUAAUUACUAAAUUUUGUCAGCAGGUAAUAAUUUUAAACUUGCACAUAGUCUUCAAAAAUUUAGAAAGAUUUAAAUAAAGAAGUUAUCCCAUAGAAAAGGUUACGUGUUUUGCAGGCGGGUUCGGUUAAAAAAAAAUACAAUUCCUGAUAUGAAUUAUGAGUACAUACUGUUUAUAACAAUGCUUGCUACCCUUUGAAAAUUUAACUCGCCAUUAAACAUCUCAUUUUUAAAGAAUUUUUGAAACGAUUACACAAACUGUGUUCGACAAAUAGUUUUCCUAAAACAUUUUCUUCCUUUCUUUUUCAAAACACGUUUUAUAUACAGGCUUUCAAUCACAACACGUUUUAUAACAAAAGCAGAACUGAAAGUUUAGUCAUUUUAAUCGUUUGACACCAUAUCACAAUAAUUUUCAACCCGCAGCAACAACGGAAGACCUACUCGUGGCUUUGCCACGAGCUCUGCUCUAGUUUUAUAUCAAUUCUUUGUCAAGUUGGAGCUAGAUUAUCUAUGGUUAUCACAGAUCCUUCAUUUCCUGUAACUAAUUGUUAC